GCCAAAGGAGAUCCAGGUAUUCCAGGAUUAGAUAUCCCAGGAUUUCCAGGACGAUUUGGACUUCCUGGAUCACAAGGCCCUGGAGGAAAUAAAGGAUUGCCUGGCAUCAAAGGACAGUGUGGUAAGCCAGGAAAGCCGGGCACACCAGGUUUCAGAGGAGAAAGAGGUUUGAUGGGACACGAGGGUAGCCCUGGAUUGCCUGGUGUCUCUGGAAAUCCAGGAAUCCCUGGAGGAAGAGGUUCUCCGGGCUUUUCAGGAUCAAAAGGAAGGAAAGGAUCUUUUGGAGAAAAAGGUGAACCAGGUGAUAAAGGUCCUCCUGGGCUAUCAGAAUCCAAAGAGAUCUAUGGAGAUAAAGGGGAGAGAGGAAGUAAAGGUAUAAAGCUAUACUAUCACUAUGCUACACAUUCUGCAGGUUUUCAUAAUGAAAU
RNAcentral lists this long non-coding RNA (428 nucleotides) under Naja naja (Indian cobra). Its description in RNAcentral is "lncRNA (ENSNNAG00000009017.1)". The record is from RNAcentral. Lineage: Eukaryota; Metazoa; Chordata; Lepidosauria; Squamata; Elapidae.